RNAcentral lists this ribosomal RNA (377 nucleotides) under uncultured bacterium. RNAcentral's name for it is "bacterial SSU rRNA". It matches the Rfam family "Bacterial small subunit ribosomal RNA", at positions 523 to 898 of the family's 1533-position model. The record is from RNAcentral.
AUACGUAGGUGGCAAGCGUUGUCCGGAUUUAUUGGGCGUAAAGCGAGCGCAGGCGGUUUCUUAAGUCUGAUGUGAAAGCCUUUGGCUCAACCGAAGAAGUGCAUCGGAAACUGGGAAACUUGAGUGCAGAAGAGGACAGUGGAACUCCAUGUGUAGCGGUGAAAUGCGUAGAUAUAUGGAAGAACACCAGUGGCGAAGGCGGCUGUCUGGUCUGUAACUGACGCUGAGGCUCGAAAGCAUGGGUAGCAAACAGGAUUAGAUACCCUGGUAGUCCAUGCCGUAAACGAUGAGUGCUAGGUGUUGGAGGGUUUCCGCCCUUCAGUGCCGCAGCUAACGCAUUAAGCACUCCGCCUGGGGAGUACGACCGCAAGGUUGAA